UUUCUGCCAAUUUACAGCAAUAUUUUACAGGAAUCAUCUGUGUUUACUAAAAUACAACAGAUAACUGUAAAGAGAAGUGCAUUUUGGGACAUGCAAACUAUGUGUCUGAUUAUACAGAAAUGAACUGUAAUUUGCAAAGCACUAUUGGAAAAGAACAUGGAAAAUGGCUGGGGUUACAGGCUGCUCCUGUACUUUUUAAAUUGAGAAGACCGUUGGGUUUUUGAUUCUGGAUACCGUUACGUUAUCUCAGACACACGGAUUUCUUCUGAGAAGUACGUGGUUGAUUGCUUGAAGUAGCUGGCUCAACGCACCGGGCGAGUUGACCUAUCACAUUCGUGUGUAUGACAUGCAGUAUCGUUACUUCUCCAAAAGCAACAGGAAAACGUAUUGUGGCCACUUCACUUGAACAGAUAGUUAAGACAGAGGAUGCAUCACACGGGAGAGCACCAUCCACUACUACGGUCCAAAGCAGCACACUGGCCAGCCAGCCGGACAGCUACAACAACCUAUGAGAUGACAUAAUGCAUGACAGGACACUGAAUGGGAUUCAUAUUGUACUGUAUACAUGAAGCUCUUGAAGACCCAACUCUUCCAAAGAGCAAGUGGAUGGUUUCCACUGAAGGACAAAUCAUAUGUGAAGGGUCCUCAUUCUUCCCUGGGCUGGCUGUUCUGUUGGAUGUGUUAUGUUUCAACCUGGAAUACCAGGAUGAACUUGCAUCAACCCUUGUGUUUAUUCAAAGGUGAAUGAAUAUUGUUGA
Sardina pilchardus (European sardine) is the source of this 758-nucleotide long non-coding RNA. RefSeq lists it as uncharacterized. NCBI's taxonomy places the organism in Eukaryota, Metazoa, Chordata, Actinopteri, Clupeiformes, Clupeidae. The record is from RefSeq and is a predicted model, not a curated record. The transcript is spliced from 3 exons.